RNAcentral lists this ribosomal RNA (372 nucleotides) under uncultured organism. RNAcentral's name for it is "partial 16S ribosomal RNA". It matches the Rfam family "Bacterial small subunit ribosomal RNA", at positions 527 to 896 of the family's 1533-position model. The record is from RNAcentral.
GUAGGUGGCAAGCGUUGUCCGGAAUUAUUGGGCGUAAAGCGCGCGCAGGCGGUUCUUUAAGUCUGAUGUGAAAGCCCACGGCUCAACCGUGGAGGGUCAUUGGAAACUGGAGAACUUGAGUACGGAAGAGGAAAGCGGAAUUCCACGUGUAGCGGUGAAAUGCGUAGAGAUGUGGAGGAACACCAGUGGCGAAGGCGGCUUUCUGGUCUGUAACUGACGCUGAGGCGCGAAAGCGUGGGGAGCAAACAGGGAUUAGAUACCCUGGUAGUCCACGCCGUAAACGAUGAGUGCUAAGUGUUAGGGGGUUUCCCGCCCCUUAGUGCUGCAGCUAACGCAUUAAGCACUCCGCCUGGGGAUACGGCCGCAAGGCUG